RNAcentral lists this long non-coding RNA (1361 nucleotides) under Vulpes vulpes (red fox). RNAcentral's name for it is "lncRNA (ENSVVUG00000001482.1)". The record is from RNAcentral. Lineage: Eukaryota; Metazoa; Chordata; Mammalia; Carnivora; Canidae.
UAGAUCUUUAUAUAUUUAUUCACGAGACACACAGAGAGAGAGGCAGAGACCCAGGCUGAGGCAGAAGCAGCUCCCUGCAGGAACCUGGUGAGGGACUCGAUCCCGGGACCCCGGGGUCACGCCCUGGGCCGCCUCGGUGUCCUGUCAUUUGCUUCGUCUGCUACCCGUGCUGCAGCCACGCCGUGAGGGGAGGUGGUGGUCGGCUCCUUGUCAGGGACACUCAGUGAGGGCCGGGCUACAAGUGGGUCACCGAAGGGCCCGGCGCGAGGAUGUGUGACCCCUCCUCCGGGGACCGGGCCACCUCCACCCCGUGUGCGCCGCCAGGGCUGCUGCCCCGCUGAGCUGAUUCCUGCCAGGCCCCCGAGGCCGCGUGGGGGACAAGGACCCUGAACUCACCGUGGGGCCGGCCUGCUGGCACCCUCCUGGCUGGGUGCCCUUGAACUGCGCCCAGGUCCCCCGCCACUAGGCCUGUGCACCGGCAUGACUUGACUUCAGCUCAGGUGUGCAAGUAUUUCCUCAGAUCCUGCCCCCUGCCCCCAGCGGAUCUUCUCCAAGCUGGAGAAAAGGACAUUGAGGCAGCCUCUGGAGAGCGACGGAGCUGCCUGUGGAGAGGAUUUCAGGAGAUUUUCUGGAAAGCCCUGCUCUGGAGGCUCUACGUGUUGCUGCUGGUGCUGCUGGUGCUGCUGGAGCCGGUGCUGGUGCUGGUGCUGGUGCUGUUGGACCUGGUGCUGCUGCUGGUGCUGGUGCUGGUGGUGCUGGUGCUGGUGCUGCUGCUGGUGCUAGUGCUGGUGCUGGUGCUGGUGCUGGUUGCUGCUGGACCUGGUGCUGGUGCUGCUGGUGCUAGUGCUGGUGCUGGUGCUGGUGCUGCUGGAGCUGGUGCUGCUGCUGUUGGAGCUGGUGCUGGUGCUGGUGCUGCUGGAGCUGUUGCUGGUGCUGCUGGUGCUAGUGCUGGUGCUGGUGCUGGUGCUGCUGGAGCUGGUGCUGGUGCUGGUGCUGGUACUGCUGGUGCCGGUGGUGCCGCUGGUGCCGGUGCUGGUGCCGGGGGUCGUGAUGACGACGAGGAUGUUGACGAUGACGAUGAGGCCGGCGAGCACAUGGACAGCUAACACUGGCGCGCCAGGCCCCUGGCUGGGCGUUUGACGCCCAUCCUCACGCAGCGGAAAUCUCCCUCAUUUCAUAGACAGAGUAAAACAGGCUCUUCGCCCAUCCGGCCACUGAGUCUUUGUCUUCUAUCGACUCCCCUACUUCCUGGCAGUUUGUACAUCAGUGCAUUGCGGCCUCUUUCCCCGUACCCCCAAACUGACUAAACACAUUUAGUGCUUUGCAGAGAGGUGCUUUGGGUAACGGGCCACCUGGCUGAC